UACGUAGGGUGCGAGCGUUAAUCGGAAUUACUGGGCGUAAAGCGUGCGCAGGCGGUUAUGUAAGACAGAUGAUCGAACCCGGUCAACCUGGGAACUGCAUUUGUGACUGCAUGGCUAGAGUACGGUAGAGGGGGAUGGAAUUCCGGCGUGUAGCAGUGAAAUGCGUAGAUAUGCGGAGGAACACCGAUGGCGAAGGCAAUCCCCUGGACCUGUACUGACGCUCAUGCACGAAAGCGUGGGGAGCAAACAGGAUUAGAUACCCCUGUAGUCC
RNAcentral lists this ribosomal RNA (271 nucleotides) under uncultured bacterium. Its description in RNAcentral is "partial 16S ribosomal RNA". It matches the Rfam family "Bacterial small subunit ribosomal RNA", at positions 524 to 796 of the family's 1533-position model. The record is from RNAcentral.